UCCGAGAUAGCUCAGCGGUAGAGCCGCGCACUGUUAAUGCGUUGGUCGCUGGUUCGAAUCCAGCUCUCGGAGCCA
This 75-nucleotide transfer RNA is filed under the name Pseudomonas sp. Leaf58. Its description in RNAcentral is "tRNA-Asn". It matches the Rfam family "tRNA". From Rfam's summary of the family: Transfer RNA (tRNA) molecules are approximately 80 nucleotides in length. The record is from RNAcentral. Lineage: Bacteria; Pseudomonadati; Pseudomonadota; Gammaproteobacteria; Pseudomonadales; Pseudomonadaceae.